AUACGUAGGGGACGAGCGUUGUCCGGAAUUACUGGGCGUAAAGGGCGCGCAGGCGGAUAUUUAAGUCAGCUGUAAAAGGCAUGAGCUCAACUCAUGUAUGCGGUUGAAACUGGGUAUCUAGAGUGCUGGAGAGGUAGGCGGAAUUCCCGGUGUAGCGGGGGAAUGCGUAGAUAUCGGGAAGAACACCAGUGGCGAAGGCGGCUUACUGGCCAGCAACUGACGCUGAGGCGCGAAAGCCAGGGGAGCGAACGGGAUUAGAUACCCCGGUAGUCCUGGCCGUAAACGAUGAAUGCUAGGUGUGGGUGUCGAGAGGCAUCCGUGCCGGAGUUAACGCGAUAAGCAUUCCGCCUGGGGAGUACGAUCGCAAGAUUGAAACUCAAAGGAAUGGACGGGG
This 394-nucleotide ribosomal RNA is filed under the name uncultured bacterium. RNAcentral describes it as "partial 16S ribosomal RNA". It matches the Rfam family "Bacterial small subunit ribosomal RNA", at positions 523 to 918 of the family's 1533-position model. The record is from RNAcentral.